AUGGCGUGCUCUCGAACGGUGGAGGACGGACGGCGGCGCGGCCUCACGGGGCUAGAUGGGGAGGAUGGACGGCGGCGUGCUGACGAGGACAUGGUGAGGGGCGUCAGGGGGUCGGGGGCAGGUGGCGGCGUGGCCGCCGCUGCCGCAGCAGCCUUUGACGCCCGCGUGGCCACGUGGUACCCCGGGGUGUCAUCCGGAUCGCCGUCCUCACGGAGGAUCGCCUACUUCGGCGGCAACUUGAUCUCCGGCAGCGAGGGAGGGUGCGGCCAGCGCGGGCGCCGCUGCCGGGUGCGCACCGUGGCUGCCGACACGCCUGCGGCGAUCGUGCGGUGGAGGCGGUGCGCGAAGACGAUUGCUGCGGCCCGUCAGGUCGAGGGUCAUGCUGGCCGCUGGAAGGCGGAAGGCGGCCAUGAUCUCCCAAUAGUCCUUCCCGCGCCAAAAGUUCCGGCGGCCUCCAAUGUUGUGCCGGCCGCCGGGGUGGUUCUGGAGCUCCUCCUCCGUCGCGCCGGGCCCCGGCGAGCCGCCGAUGUCGUCGUCGUCGUCGCCGCCGCCUGCCCCGUCAGCGCUGCUGCUGCCGUGGUAGAACGUCAUCGUCGGUGGGCGUCAGAGGGAUGGUGGAGCAUGGGGCGUCAGGGUAACGGGGGAUGCGUCGGGUGCCGGUGGGUGUUUGUGGGACGGGGCGUCACCUUAUAUAGCCACGGGUUCGGGGCGUCGGUGGGUGUCGGUGGGUGUCGGCAGGCGAGGACGCGCGGCAGGCGAGGAGGCGGCCGCGGUGGCGUGCUGCAGGCGGGCGCGGCAGGCAAGGAGGCGGGCGCGACAGGCGAGGAGGCGGCCGCGUCACGUGCGCGCGGCCGGCCGGGGCGGUUCAAGUUUUUUUUCUGGCGGGCGGGGUUUCACCUUUUUUUUCGAGCGGGCGGGGUACCACUUAUUUUGCGGGCGGGCGGGCGGGCGGGCAGAGAUAUUGGGCAAUCUCGGCCGUCCUUGCGUGGGCACGGAGGGGGCUACCGAAGCGCAAGUGAAAGAGAAAAGGGCUACAAUCUCAGGAAGGCAGCGCUGUCUUGUCCACCUCGCAUCAAAAGACGAUCGUGGCGGCGCACCAAAGACAAAACCCUAGCUCAAUCCCGCCGCCACCCCAGAUUCUUCCUGUGUGACAGUUCCAUGGCGCUGUGCUCUCCCUCUAACACUCUCCGGUGUCGGUGCGGAUGCAGGUGCCAUGAUCUCGAACCCCGUGAUUCGCCGCCGGCGGACUCUCCGCUUCCCACCUCUCAGGGUGGAUCCAACAAUGGAGCCAAAGCUGAUGUUGCUAGGAAGAAGGAUGUUGAUCAUUUGUUGGCAAAAUUAGAGAAGGAGGGAGUGGAGAUAGAUGGCAACAUAUCUAGUAUUAUUGAUGAUGAGAUAGCUAGAAUUAAAGCUGAAGCUGAGAGGGAGAACAUGAAUGAAGAAAAAAGGAAGAGGACUCAAGCACUGCUCACUAUUGCAGGUGUUGUUGUUGGUUUCGUCGUGGGUGUGAAAUGUGAAAUAGAUAAAUACCGUAAGGCAUUUGACAAGAUAUAUGGAAGACCCAGUAGAAUGAAGGCUCAAGAAAAGCUCGGCUUUGAAUUAACAAAGCCAUCAACCGGCCACGAUUACAUCUAA
RNAcentral lists this ribosomal RNA (1635 nucleotides) under Triticum aestivum (bread wheat). RNAcentral describes it as "partial small subunit ribosomal RNA". Lineage: Eukaryota; Viridiplantae; Streptophyta; Magnoliopsida; Poales; Poaceae. The record is from RNAcentral.